This 214-nucleotide unclassified non-coding RNA is filed under the name plant metagenome. RNAcentral describes it as "partial contains small subunit ribosomal RNA and internal transcribed spacer 1". The stretch from base 1 to 46 matches the Rfam family "Eukaryotic small subunit ribosomal RNA", at positions 1786 to 1831 of the family's 1831-position model. The record is from RNAcentral.
AAGUCGUAACAAGGUCUCCGUAGGUGAACCUGCGGAGGGAUCAUUACAGAGAACAUCGCCCUCACGGGUGACUCUCCAACCCUAUGUUAUACAACCGUUUGUUGGCUUUGGCGAUGACCGCCAUCCGGCCGCUGGCUUCGGCUAGCGAGUGCUCGCCAGAGGGACCCCAAACUCUGAAUAUUAAUGUCGUCUGAGUACUAUAUAAUAGUUAAAA